Molecule: long non-coding RNA, 417 nt
Filed under: Fragaria vesca (wild strawberry)
Lineage: Eukaryota; Viridiplantae; Streptophyta; Magnoliopsida; Rosales; Rosaceae
Description: long non-coding RNA (FVES_LNC002799)
Source: RNAcentral
UUGAUCUUGACGCGGUCGGAGACGAGGGCGGCGUCGUCGAGGGUGAACUUGAGGGUGUGGUUCCAUUUGGGGCUGGUGCCGCCGUCUUUGUGGACAGGGGUGCGGAGCUUCUGCUUCCUUACGCCGGCGCCGGAGACGGUGACGGCGGCGUAGACGUCCAUCUUGGAGAAGGUGUUGACGUCCUUGAUGUCAUGGGCGCCGAUCAGGGUUAUUUCAAAAGGUCUGCAAUCCAUGGAUGAAGAAAGAUUGAUUGAAAUCUUGGAGUGAUUGAGAAUUUGAGAGAUUUGGAUUUGAGAAUUUGAGAGAAUCAGAAUGAGAGGUAAGGGUUAUAUAUAGGAGUGGAGAAGAAACCGACUGUGGAAGAGGAAUGAGAGGGGAAUGUUCGUUUUCAGGGGUGCAAUGACGGGUUUGCCCUUU